GACGAACGCUGGCGGCGUGCUUAACACAUGCAAGUCGAACGGUAAGGCCCUUUCGGGGGUACACGAGUGGCGAACGGGUGAGUAACACGUGAGUAACCUGCCCUCAUCUCUGGGAUAACAGUCGGAAACGGUUGCUAAUACUGGAUAUGAGCUUGCAAGGCAUCUUGUGGGUUGGAAAGAUUUUUUUUGGUUGGGGAUGGACUCGCGGCCUAUCAGCUUGUUGGUGAGGUAGUGGCUCACCAAGGCUUCGACGGGUAGCCGGCCUGAGAGGGCGACCGGCCACAUUGGGACUGAGAUACGGCCCAAACUCCUACGGGAGGCAGCAGUGGGGAAUAUUGCACAAUGGACGGAAGUCUGAUGCAGCAACGCCGCGUGCGGGAUGACGGCCUUCGGGUUGUAAACCGCUUUCAAUUGUGACGAAGCUUUUUUGUGACGGUAGCAGUAGAAGAAGCACCGGCUAACUACGUG
This 468-nucleotide ribosomal RNA is filed under the name uncultured bacterium. RNAcentral describes it as "partial 16S ribosomal RNA". It matches the Rfam family "Bacterial small subunit ribosomal RNA", at positions 28 to 507 of the family's 1533-position model. The record is from RNAcentral.